AUAAGCAAUUAUACCGUGAAACUGCGAAUGGCUCAUUAAAUCAGUUAUCGUUUAUUUGAUAAUACCUUACUACUUGGAUAACCGUGGUAAUUCUAGAGCUAAUACAUGCUGAAAAUCCCGACUUCGGAAGGGAUGUGUUUAUUAGAUAAAAAACCAAUGCCCUUCGGGGCUUUUUGGUGAUUCAUGAUAACUUUACGGAUCGCAUAGCCUUGCGCUGGCGACGGUUCAUUCAAAUUUCUGCCCUAUCAACUUUCGAUGGUAAGGUAUUGGCUUACCAUGGUUUCAACGGGUAACGGGGAAUUAGGGUUCGAUUCCGGAGAGGGAGCCUGAGAAACGGCUACCACAUCCAAGGAAGGCAGCAGGCGCGCAAAUUACCCAAUCCCGACACGGGGAGGUAGUGACAAUAAAUACUGAUACAGGGCUCUUUUGGGUCUUGUAAUUGGAAUGAGUACAAUUUAAACCUCUUAACGAGGAACAAUUGGAGGGCAAGUCUGGGCCA
Molecule: ribosomal RNA, 499 nt
Filed under: Pleosporaceae sp. N11
Lineage: Eukaryota; Fungi; Ascomycota; Dothideomycetes; Pleosporales; Pleosporaceae
Description: SSU rRNA
Rfam family: Eukaryotic small subunit ribosomal RNA
Source: RNAcentral